UUAAAUAAAAAUCGGUGUUGUUGCUGCCUUUCGUGGUGACGCGUCGGAAUUGGGUCGUCUUACCUUCGGAUAAGUGACUUAAAAUUUUUCAUGAUUUUCGAACGUAUUUAAAUUGCUUACGUACGUUUGAGAUAUCGAAUGGUCUAUUAGGUUCGGUCAUCCUCAUGACUCGCGCCUAUAAUUUUUCAUU
This 190-nucleotide unclassified non-coding RNA is filed under the name uncultured Glomeromycotina. Its description in RNAcentral is "sequence contains ITS2". Lineage: Eukaryota; Fungi; Glomeromycota. The record is from RNAcentral.